Molecule: transfer RNA, 68 nt
Filed under: Ithaginis cruentus
Lineage: Eukaryota; Metazoa; Chordata; Aves; Galliformes; Phasianidae
Description: tRNA-Lys
Source: RNAcentral
CAUUGAGAAGCUAUGAAUCAGCACUAGCCUUUUAAGCUAACAAAAGAGGGCACUCUCCUCCUCAAUGA